UCACAUCUAAGACUUCUCCUCUUGGCUUUUAGGUGACAAUAUCAGAGAGUUCUUGCUGAGCCUUAGGUAUUUCCGAAUCUUCAUUGCCUUGUGGAAUGUCUUCAUGAUGUUCUGCAUGAUUGUGUUAUUUGGAUCUUGAAAGUCAUCCACAAACAUGGCUGGUAACUUGGAAGAGACUUUUGGCUGCAAACAUAACUUUUCUAUCAAGUAAAAGAUUAUAAUGCUUUCCAAACACAGCCCUGGGAUUGUGACAGUUCUUCAGCACGAGCUCCGAGGGGCAGCACAGCACACAGCCCCCCCAGCCAGCUGUGUAAGGCUGUGGGUGUGUGGGGCUGCGUGCUGCAGGGCAGGGAGCCUUCCAGCCCCUGAGCCAAAGGCCUCAAAGUAAAAUUAAUUCAACUUCACCGGGAGGAAAAAAACAACCCACCCACCUUUACAGUGGGUUGCUCAGCAUUCUGUGCCCGAUGUGCAGCGGAUUGCAGCUGACUGACAGCCACAGCCGUGCAGCUCUGCCUCAUCGCUCACCCCACGUUCUGCUGCGUCUGCCGUCACCGCGCUGUGGGCCACAUGGAAGUCACACCUCAUUACUGUGACGCGGAGUGAAGAAUUGAUGUAACUUGGAAAAAAAAAAAAGGCAUUUUUCCCUCACAAUUCCAUUUUUCUUUGGAAAUGUAGAAAUAGGCAUCUCAAAAAAGGGUCCUCACUUCCUCACUUUUUCCCCCAACAAAUUCAUUUUUAGAUACAAAUUUGAAGAUAAGGGGUUUUUUCCUCAGCAAUCCGUAAGGGACUUUGAACAGGAAAACAUCUGUGAUGCCGAGGAGGUUUUGGGAUCAUUUUGGAUUCGGUUGAAUAAAAAAGUUCUAUUUAAG
This 869-nucleotide long non-coding RNA is filed under the name Gallus gallus (chicken). RNAcentral's name for it is "long non-coding RNA NONGGAT005664". Lineage: Eukaryota; Metazoa; Chordata; Aves; Galliformes; Phasianidae. The record is from RNAcentral.